RNAcentral lists this ribosomal RNA (764 nucleotides) under Flavobacteriaceae bacterium beta2b-PCAi-E3-2. RNAcentral describes it as "bacterial SSU rRNA". It matches the Rfam family "Bacterial small subunit ribosomal RNA", at positions 56 to 822 of the family's 1533-position model. Lineage: Bacteria; Pseudomonadati; Bacteroidota; Flavobacteriia; Flavobacteriales; Flavobacteriaceae. The record is from RNAcentral.
UGCAGUCGAGGGGUAUAAGUCUUCGGAUUUAGAGACCGGCGCACGGGUGCGUAACGCGUAUGCAAUCUACCUUUUACAGGGGGAUAGCCCAGAGAAAUUUGGAUUAAUACCCCAUGGUAUAAUUGAAUGGCAUCAUUUAAUUAUUAAAGUCACAACGGUAAAAGAUGAGCAUGCGUCCCAUUAGCUAGUUGGUAAGGUAACGGCUUACCAAGGCAACGAUGGGUAGGGGUCCUGAGAGGGAGAUCCCCCACACUGGUACUGAGACACGGACCAGACUCCUACGGGAGGCAGCAGUGAGGAAUAUUGGUCAAUGGGCGCAAGCCUGAACCAGCCAUGCCGCGUGCAGGAUGACGGUCCUAUGGAUUGUAAACUGCUUUUGCACAGGAAGAAACACUGAUUCGUGAAUCAGCUUGACGGUACUGUGAGAAUAAGGAUCGGCUAACUCCGUGCCAGCAGCCGCGGUAAUACGGAGGAUCCAAGCGUUAUCCGGAAUCAUUGGGUUUAAAGGGUCCGUAGGCGGUUUGGUAAGUCAGUGGUGAAAGCCCAUCGCUCAACGGUGGAACGGCCAUUGAUACUGCUAAACUUGAAUUAUUAGGAAGUAACUAGAAUAUGUAGUGUAGCGGUGAAAUGCUUAAAGAUUACAUGGAAUACCAAUUGCGAAGGCAGGUUACUACUAAUGGAUUGACGCUGAUGGACGAAAGCGUGGGUAGCGAACAGGAUUAGAUACCCUGGUAGUCCACGCCGUAAACGAUGGAUACUAGCUG